This 301-nucleotide ribosomal RNA is filed under the name uncultured bacterium. Its description in RNAcentral is "partial 16S ribosomal RNA". It matches the Rfam family "Bacterial small subunit ribosomal RNA", at positions 509 to 807 of the family's 1533-position model. The record is from RNAcentral.
CAGUCGCCGCGGUAAUACGAAGGGUGCAAGCGUUAAUCGGAAUUACUGGGCGUAAAGCGUGCGCAGGCGGUUUGUUAAGACAGAUGUGAAAUCCCCGGGCUCAACCUGGGAACUGCAUUUGUGACUGGCAAGCUAGAGUGUGGCAGAGGGGGGUGGAAUUCCGCGUGUAGCAGUGAAAUGCGUAGAUAUGCGGAGGAACACCGAUGGCGAAGGCAGCCCCCUGGGCCAACACUGACGCUCAUGCACGAAAGCGUGGGGAGCAAACAGGAUUAGAUACCCCGGUAGUCCCUGUCUCUUAUAC